GGCAAUCACACUAAUUUAGGCUAGCUAUAAAUUUUUGACAUUAUCCAUUUUUGGCUGUAAUAUCAAUACAUAUCUAUAUGUGUAUUCCUAAUUAGAAAAGAAUCCCUAAUUAGUAAAGGAUUCCUAAUUAGUUUAGAAUAGCGCAAUUAUACCAGAAAAUUGUGUGUGUAUGUAUGUGUAUGUAAAUCUACUUUGAAAUAAAUGAGAGUUAUUUUUCUCUUCUACAAUUUAGUUCUCCAACCAUUAUAAACAAUAUUUACUCUCCACCAAUCAAGGAGUCAAGGAUUCCCUCAAGUUUGAAUUGAUAGCUUAAUCCUCUCCUAAGACUU
This 329-nucleotide unclassified non-coding RNA is filed under the name Hevea brasiliensis (rubber tree). Lineage: Eukaryota; Viridiplantae; Streptophyta; Magnoliopsida; Malpighiales; Euphorbiaceae. The record is from RNAcentral.